This 497-nucleotide ribosomal RNA is filed under the name uncultured bacterium. Its description in RNAcentral is "partial 16S ribosomal RNA". It matches the Rfam family "Bacterial small subunit ribosomal RNA", at positions 28 to 507 of the family's 1533-position model. The record is from RNAcentral.
GAUGAACGCUGGCGGCGUGCCUAAUACAUGCAAGUCGAGCGAACGGACGAGAAGUUUGCUUCUCUGAUGUUAGCGGCGGACGGGUGAGUAACACGUGGAUAACCUAUCUAUAAGACUGGGAUAACUCCGGGAAACCGGAGCUACUACCGGAUGAUAUUUUGAACCGCAUGGUUCAAAAGUGAAAGACGGUCUUGCUGUCACUUAUAGAUGGAUCCGCGCUGCAUUAGCUAGUUGGUAAGGUAACGGCCUACCAAGGCAACGAUGCAUAGCCGGCCUGAGCGGGGGGUACGCCAACAUGGGAAUGAGACACGGCCCCGACUCCUACGGGAGGACGCAGUGGGGAAUUUUGCACAAUGGGCGGAAGCCCGAACGAGCAAAGCCGCGUGUGUGAAGAAGGUCUUCGGGUUGUAAAACCCUUUUUUUUGGGAAGAAAAUAUUGGCAAAAAAACGGUCGGCGUAUGAAGGUACCGGAAGAAUAAGCCCCGGCUAACUAAGUG